CUGCAGAAACCCUACAAGCCAGAAGAGAGUGGGGGCCAACAUUCAACAUUCUUAAAAGAAUUUUCAACCCAGUAUCUCAUAUCCAUCUAAACUAAGCUUCGUAAUUGAAGGAGAAAUAAAAUCCCUCACGAAGAAGCAAAUGCUGAGAGAUUUUGUCACCAUCAGGCCUGCCUAACAAGAGCUCCUGAAGGAAGCACUAAACAUGGAAGGAACAACCGGUACCAGCCACUGCAAAAACAUGCCAAAUUGUAAAGACCAUCGACACUAUGAAGAAACUGCAUCAACUAAAGGGCAAAAUAAUCAGCUAGCAUCAUAAUGACAGGAUCAAAGUCACACAUAACAAUAUUAACCUUAAAUGUAAAUGAGCUAAACACCUCAAUUAAAAGACACACACUGGCAAAUUGGAUAGAGUCAAGACCCAUCAGUGUGCUGUGUUCAGGAGACCCAGCUCACAUGCAAAGACACACAUAGGCUCAAAAUAAAGGAAUGGAGGAACAUUUACCAAGCAAAUGGAAAGCAAGAAAAAGCAGGGGUUGCAAUCCUAGUCUCUGAUAAAACAGACUUUAAACCAACGAAGAUCAAGAGACAAAGAAGGGCAUUAUAUAAUGGUAAAGGGAAUCAAUGCAACAAGAAGAGCUAACUAUCCUAAAUAUAUAUGCACCCAAUACAG
Molecule: long non-coding RNA, 670 nt
Filed under: Homo sapiens (human)
Lineage: Eukaryota; Metazoa; Chordata; Mammalia; Primates; Hominidae
Description: LHRI_LNC1470.1
Source: RNAcentral